AACUCUUCGGAGGGAAGUUCGUGGAACGAGCGGCGGACGGGUGAGUAACACGUAGGCAACCUGCCUGUAAGACUGGGAUAACUCGCGGAAACGCGAGCUAAUACCGGAUAACACUUUCUAUCACCUGAUGGAAAGUUGAAAGGCGGCUUUUGCUGUCACUUACAGAUGGGCCUGCGGCGCAUUAGCUAGUUGGUGAGGUAACGGCUCACCAAGGCGACGAUGCGUAGCCGACCUGAGAGGGUGAUCGGCCACACUGGGACUGAGACACGGCCCAGACUCCUACGGGAGGCAGCAGUAGGGAAUCUUCCGCAAUGGACGAAAGUCUGACGGAGCAACGCCGCGUGAGUGAUGAAGGUUUUCGGAUCGUAAAACUCUGUUGUCAGGGAAGAACAAGUACGAUAGUAACUGAUCGUACCUUGACGGUACCUGACCAGAAAGCCACGGCUAACUACGUGCCAGCAGCCGCGGUAAUACGUAGGUGGCAAGCGUUGUCCGGAAUUAUUGGGCGUAAAGCGCUCGCAGGCGGUUCUUUAAGUCUGAUGUGAAAUCUUGCGGCUCAACCGCAAACGUGCAUUGGAAACUGGAGGACUUGAGUGCAGAAGAGGAGAGUGGAAUUCCACGUGUAGCGGUGAAAUGCGUAGAGAUGUGGAGGAACACCAGUGGCGAACGCGACUCUCUGGUCUGUAACUGACGCUGAGGAGCGA
Molecule: ribosomal RNA, 704 nt
Filed under: Oceanobacillus oncorhynchi subsp. incaldanensis
Lineage: Bacteria; Bacillati; Bacillota; Bacilli; Caryophanales; Bacillaceae
Description: bacterial SSU rRNA
Rfam family: Bacterial small subunit ribosomal RNA
Source: RNAcentral